Molecule: long non-coding RNA, 716 nt
Organism: Tribolium castaneum (red flour beetle)
Lineage: Eukaryota; Metazoa; Arthropoda; Insecta; Coleoptera; Tenebrionidae
Exons: 3
Source: RefSeq, a predicted model, not a curated record
UUUUUACAGAAUACUGUAGCUUAAUACUUGAAGGUUAAAUUCAGAGAUGGAGACAAAAACUUUACAGAUUACUGUAAUUCCAUGUUUUAAAGUAAAACAACCAAAUGUCAGAAGUAAUUUUAAAAUUAUAAAAUGGAUUUUUCGGACUAGGGCCAUAGCACGAUAUAGAGACAGACAGGUUGCUGUGUUCUCGAACCCGAUUUUCGAUUUUGGAACUCCUGAACCAUUAUUUGUUGGGAUUUGACUUCAUAUUGGGGCACAGAAUGGUAUGGUUCUGGAUUGUACUAGUGGAUUGGGAUUUAUACAGUUUCUAAAAUGGAUUGUUACACAACACUACACCAUGAUAGAUAAAUUCAAAGCUUCGCCCAAACCGUCGCGUACGUGGGAUCCCAAUAAGGACCUAUUUUGCCUUACACCUGGGUGAGGUCGAACAGAACGGCAAAAUGAGGCAAGAGAUACACCCGUUUGGUGAAGAUGAACUCAUUCGAAAAAAGCAACUCAGAAUUGAAGAUAAUAGAUUAUAAUUCCAAUUCGGAUGUGGAACCUUUAGGAAGGGGCCCGUAUGUUAUUCAAAACACUAAUAAUAUAAUUACGCAUGUUUUUCAAGCGAGGAUGCCAUAGAACUGUAGUUUUUCCGAAAUUAUUUUGGUGUAUAGCUGCUACCUAUUAUGUUAUUUUUGUAGUUUUUUUAAAUAAAGUGUCAAAAUGUGUAGUUA